RNAcentral lists this transfer RNA (72 nucleotides) under Pangasianodon gigas (Mekong giant catfish). RNAcentral's name for it is "tRNA-Glu". The record is from RNAcentral. Lineage: Eukaryota; Metazoa; Chordata; Actinopteri; Siluriformes; Pangasiidae.
CCCUGGAGGACUAGUGGUUAGGCCUCAGCGCUCUCACCGCCACGGCCCGGGUUCGAUUCCUGGCCACUGGGG